GAUUUCAAUCCAAUUUCUUGAUUCCAUUAGCCUCUUUGGCAUCCUCUGAAACUUUUGCAACAAUUCCCAAGCUCCGAGACCUUCUGAAGUGAUCUAACUAGAUCGAGCUUCAUCAACUUCUGAUCACCAUUUGGAAAAGGUGGUUAUGAGCACCAUUUGAACUCAAACAAGUUACCAUAAUGUAGCCCUUCACUCUCUGAUGCUUUCCCCUAACUUAUUUGGUGUUGAUUGAUCGUGCUCAUCAUUUAAUU
Molecule: long non-coding RNA, 251 nt
Filed under: Lathyrus oleraceus (garden pea)
Lineage: Eukaryota; Viridiplantae; Streptophyta; Magnoliopsida; Fabales; Fabaceae
Description: Pisum sativum (pea) long non-coding RNA (PSAT_LNC018745)
Source: RNAcentral